This 482-nucleotide ribosomal RNA is filed under the name uncultured bacterium. Its description in RNAcentral is "partial 16S ribosomal RNA". It matches the Rfam family "Bacterial small subunit ribosomal RNA", at positions 30 to 507 of the family's 1533-position model. The record is from RNAcentral.
AUUGAACGCUGGCGGCAUGCUUUACACAUGCAAGUCGAACGGUAACAGGCCGCAAGGUGCUGACGAGUGGCGAACGGGUGAGUAAUGCAUCGGAACGUGCCCAGUCGUGGGGGAUAACUACUCGAAAGAGUAGCUAAUACCGCAUACGAUCUAUGGAUGAAAGCGAGGGACCGUAAGGCCUCGCGCGAUUGGAGCGGCCGAUGUCAGAUUAGGUAGUUGGUGGGGUAAAGGCUCACCAAGCCAACGAUCUGUAGCUGGUCUGAGAGGACAACCAGCCACACUGGGACUGAGACACGGCCCAGACUCCUACGGGAGGCAGCAGUGGGGAAUUUUGGACAAUGGGCGCAAGCCUGAUCCAGCAAUGCCGCGUGCAGGAAGAAGGCCUUCGGGUUGUAAACUGCUUUUGUACGGAACGAAACGGCUCUGGUUAAUACCCGGGGCUAAUGACGGUACCGUAAGAAUAAGCACCGGCUAACUACGUG